UUCUAUGGCCAUACCAGUCUGAAAGUGCCUGAUCUCGUCAGAUCUCAGAAGCCAUCCAGACUGGUUAGUACUUGUAUGGGAGACCAACUAGGAACCCCAGGUGCCGUAGCUC
Molecule: non-coding RNA, 112 nt
Organism: Pelobates cultripes (western spadefoot toad)
Lineage: Eukaryota; Metazoa; Chordata; Amphibia; Anura; Pelobatidae
Source: the annotation of a GenBank genome assembly